This 254-nucleotide ribosomal RNA is filed under the name uncultured prokaryote. RNAcentral's name for it is "partial 16S ribosomal RNA". It matches the Rfam family "Bacterial small subunit ribosomal RNA", at positions 524 to 777 of the family's 1533-position model. The record is from RNAcentral.
UACGGAGGAUGCGAGCGUUAUCCGGAUUUAUUUGGUUUAAAGGGUGCGUAGGCGGCCGAGUAAGUCAGCGGUGAAAUUUUGCAGCUUAACUGUAACAGUGCCGUUGAUACUGCAUGGCUAGGAUUUGGUUGCUGUGGGUGGAAUGUGUGGUGUAGCGGUGAAAUGCUUAGAUAUCACACAGAAUAUCAAUUGCGAAGGCAGCUCACAAAUCCAAGAUUGACGCUGAGGCACGAAAGUGUGGGGACCAAACAGGA